This 1095-nucleotide long non-coding RNA is filed under the name Heterocephalus glaber (naked mole-rat). Its description in RNAcentral is "lncRNA (ENSHGLG00000048804.1)". The record is from RNAcentral. Lineage: Eukaryota; Metazoa; Chordata; Mammalia; Rodentia; Bathyergidae.
UGGGUACUUAAAAAAAAAAAAAGUUUUUGUAAAACUGGCAUGCAAAAAUAAAAUAAAAUGAGAAUGGUUAACGUUAUUUAAAUAUCGAUGGCCCCCCCCCCCCAAUUUUGGGUCCAGCUUCAGACCUGGCUUCCCUGCGGGUCUCAGACCCCGGCCCUGCUGCGUCCCCACCCUUUGGUCACCGGCACUCUGAGCGCAGGGCCCCGGCCGCAGAGGCCGCAGAGGCUGCAGAGGCUUACGGGAAGGGCUGGCCCUGCUGUGCACACGGCCCGGUGGUCAGGCUGGGGGACCUGGACUAGCCAGAUCAGGACGGGACAGGACUGGACAGGACAGGGUGCGGGGACCUGAAUGGGACUGGACAGGACCGGACAGGUUCUCUCUCCACUUUGGCUGUCUCCCACGAGCACGCGCAGACUGCAGGGCCCAGGCUCGCCUCUCCCGGUGCUCGCAGUGACCAGGAGCGGUCCAGAGAAGCAAGGAAACUUGUCAAGGGUAUCAUAAGGAUCCUGGAGAUGACCGAACAUAUGUGGGUGGUGUGCACAGGUCACACGAGAACCUCGUGUCACUUUAUGUGAAGGAUGCUGAGGACCUGUGGGUCCUUGGGGCCCUGGAGCUGAUCCCUCAUGGAUCCUAAGGAACAACUACGUAUGCACUCAGGGCUCUGAAACUUGGCGGAUGCUUGGUCCUGAUCAGCGGAUGAACAACUUCUUGGGAUCCCACUGGUGUCCCCGGAUGAGGCCAGAUGUAAUCUCUUGUAUGGACCUGUAGGGACUAGCCCCAGGGAAAGCCACGUCCAGCUUAGUUUUCCUGACCAGCCUUGCCUGUGGCCUGAGUCUCAAAGCUGAGCUGUGUCAUAAACCCUCAUUUGGGCUGGGCGGAGUGCUGGGUCCACAGAGAAGCUCCUGGAGUCACACAGAGCUGUCAUGGUUGAUGUCAUCUGCUUGUGGGGUCUGAGGUGGGGCAACAGGGCUGAGCUCUGGGAUCUGGACAGCCCUGUCCCCACCCCAGUCCCUUAUCUUGGAGGAGCUGGAGAAGCCUAGGAACUGCAGCACACAGCCUCCAAACUGGACAGGUCCACAGUCUCCAGAUCAUGAG